CUGGUGUGGCGUUCUUUGAAGAUUGACGGUUCGAUAGCUCACAGAAGAAGCCUCAUUCUUGAAGUAUGAAGACAGACAGUGUAGAACCGCCGUCUUUCGAGAGACCACUCAUUGGCUUCUACAUAAAGGCUCUCGACUGGCGAGGUCCGGAACGCUCCAAGGACCAGUCGCAGUCCCAGAAAAUACAUAAGACGGUUGUUGACCAUGCGCUCAAAGGUCUUCCCCAGACAACUUGUCAGCGCUAUGGGUCGGUAACUGCACGGAUGCGAGGGAUCUUUUCCUGGCUUCAGCAGUGGAACUAUGAUUGCCUCCUUCCAGCCAGAAGGGAGAACACCUUCUAGCCAGACAAAAUUAAAGAAAUCCAGGAGAGAAUUUAAUGAAGUUAACGACAGAUGUUUAAGCAUGGAGUACACUAUGCGAUCAGGUCCAGGUGCUGAGUUUUUAGGGGAUGACAGAGCCCUUUGUAGCUCCGCCAUUGAAAAAGGUGAGUUGUAACCACACCUCUCAUCUAACCCACUAUCAAGUGUUUGCCUUUCAGCAGAUGAUUUAAUCUUUAAGAAAUCUCUGCUGUAAUGGGAUGAACUUGACACUCGUUGGAAAUGUUCCCCGAGGGCAUUGGCCUGCUCCUCCAUACUUUGACACACGGUACCAUUUAUUUGUAACAGUGGUACACAGAAACUUGUAUAGUCGCCCUUUAUUUACUUUAGUCUGUCCCAUAUUAUUUUUGAUGGAGUUGUAGCAUUUAAAGAUGAUACGAAAUUUCUCCAAGAUUCUUUCUUUGCUUGCUUUCGCGUCCAACGUGCUUUCGCUCUAGCUCUCCUGAAAGCAAUUAGGUUUGUUAUUGUGGGGUGUCUUCGAAAGACACCCCACGCUCGGUUUUGUUCUUUGCGUGUGCUUUCACAAUUGCUCGUCCACCAAGGCUUGGAGCGCUUGGGGAGUCGGCCGGAUGUUUGCGGAAUGGACUGUUGAGCGGCAUUUAUAAUGGUAUGAGUGAUCAACUUAUUUGCCUCCUCAACAUUCAAACCCUCAAAAGCAGAAGAUGGGAAAUUGGCUUGUCUUUCAAAUAUGUCCCAAUUUGCCUCUUGUAAUUUCCACCGUGGUGGACGUGUUCUUAUGUUGUUAGUGUGACCGUGAAAUUUAAUAAUGAGCGGAAAAUGGUCGCUACCUCGGGGAUUCUGUUCGACUGUCCAGUCAAGAAGCUGAAAAAUGGAUGGGCUGCAUAGUGAGAUGUCUAUGCAAGAAAAAUUUUGUGUCGAAGA
This is a long non-coding RNA of Ornithodoros turicata, 1259 nucleotides long. RefSeq lists it as uncharacterized. The transcript has 4 exons. NCBI's taxonomy places the organism in Eukaryota, Metazoa, Arthropoda, Arachnida, Ixodida, Argasidae. The record is from RefSeq and is a predicted model, not a curated record.